GGACCCCGUUAUCUAAUUGGUUCAUAUUGAGGUCAAAAGGGUCCAAAAUUAAACUUUGUUUGAUUUCAUCUAAAAUUGAAUUAUUGGGGUUCUUUGAUAUUCCAAAUCUAACCGUGUAUUUAGGUUUUUAAUUUUGGGUCCUGUUUUUUAGAUUGGUCUACAUUGAGGUCCAAAGGGUCCAAAAUUAAACUUAGUUUGAUUUUGACAAAAAUUGAAUUCUUGGGGUUCUUUGAUUUGCUGAAUCUAAACAUGUGUUUAGAUUUUUGAUUAUGGGCCCAGUUUUCAAGUUGGUCCAAGAUAGGGUCCAGUAUUUAAACUUUGUUUGAUUUCAACAAAAAUUGAAUAUAUGGGGUUCUUUGAUAUGCUGAAUCUAAACAUGUAUUUAGAUUUUUGAUUAUGGGCCAAGUUUUCAAGUUAGUCCAAAUUGGGGUCCAAAAUUAAACUUUGUUUGAUUUCAACAAAAAUUGAAUAUAUGAGGUUCUUUGAUAUGCUGAAUCUAACCAUGUAUUUAGAUUUUUUAUUUGUAGGCCCCGCUAUCAAAUUGGUUCAUAUUGAGGUCAAAAGGGUCCAAAAUUAAACUUUGUUUGAUUUCAUCGAAAAUUGAAUUAUUGGGGUUCUUUGAUAUGCCAAAUCUAACCGUGUUUUUAGAUUUUUAAUUUGGGUCCCGUUUUUUAAAUUGGUCUUCAUUGAGGUCCAAAGGGUCCAAAAUUAAACUUAGUUUGAUUUUAACAAAAAUUGAAUUCUUGGGGUUCUUUGAUAUGCUGAAUCUAAACAUGUAUUUAGAUUUUUGAUUAUGGGCCCAGUUUUCAAGUUGGUCCAAAUUGGGGUCCAAAAUUAAACUUUGUUUGAUUUCAACAAAAAUUGAAUAUAUGAAGUUCUUUGAUAUGCUGAAUCUAACCAUGUAUUUAGAUUUUUUAUUUGUAGGCCCCGCUAUCAAAUUGGUUCAUAUUGAGGUCAAAAGGGUCCAAAAUUAAACUUUGUUUGAUUUCAUCAAAAAUUGAAUUAUUGGGGUUCUUUGAUAUUCCAAAUCUAACUGUGUAUUUAGAUUUUUAAUUUUAAGUCCCGUUUUUUAAAUUGGUCUACAUUAAGGUCCAAAGGGUCCAAAAUUAAACUUUA
This is a long non-coding RNA of Mytilus californianus (California mussel), 1116 nucleotides long. RefSeq lists it as uncharacterized. Lineage: Eukaryota; Metazoa; Mollusca; Bivalvia; Mytilida; Mytilidae. The record is from RefSeq and is a predicted model, not a curated record. The transcript has 2 exons.